GGGGGGGGGGGGGGGGGGGGGGGGGGCGGGCGGGGCGGGCGGGAACAGGCGGCGAGGUGCUGGCGGGUGGCGGACGGGGGGGGAAUGCAUCGGAACGUGCCCAGUCGGGGGGGAUAAGUACUCGAAAGGGGAGCUAAUACCGCAUACGAGCUGUGGAUGAAAGCGGGGGACCGUAAGGCCUCGCGCGGGUGGAGCGGCCGAUGUCAGAUUAGGUAGUUGGUGGGGGAAAGGCUCACCAAGCCAACGAUCUGUAGCUGGUCUGAGAGGACGACCAGCCACACUGGGACUGAGACACGGCCCAGACUCCUACGGGAGGCAGCAGUGGGGAAUUUUGGACAAUGGGCGCAAGCCUGAUCCAGCAAUGCCGCGUGCAGGAAGAAGGCCUUCGGGUUGUAAACUGCUUUUGUACGGAACGAAACGGCUCUGGUUAAUACCCGGGGCUAAUGACGGUACCGUAAGAAUAAGCACCGGCUAACUACGUG
RNAcentral lists this ribosomal RNA (482 nucleotides) under uncultured bacterium. RNAcentral's name for it is "partial 16S ribosomal RNA". It matches the Rfam family "Bacterial small subunit ribosomal RNA", at positions 39 to 507 of the family's 1533-position model. The record is from RNAcentral.